GACGAACGCUGGCGGCGUGCUUAACACAUGCAAGUCGAACGCUGAAGCUCAGCUUUUGUUGGGUGGAUGAGUGGCGAACGGGUGAGUAACACGUGAGUAACCUGCCCCCUUCUUUGGGAUAACGCCCGGAAACGGGUGCUAAUACUGGAUAUUCACUGGUCUUCGCAUGGGGGUUGGUGGAAAGGGUUUUUCUGGUGGGGGAUGGGCUCGCGGCCUAUCAGCUUGUUGGUGGGGUGAUGGCCUACCAAGGCUUUGACGGGUAGCCGGCCUGAGAGGGUGACCGGUCACAUUGGGACUGAGAUACGGCCCAGACUCCUACGGGAGGCAGCAGUGGGGAAUAUUGCACAAUGGGCGCAAGCCUGAUGCAGCGACGCCGCGUGAGGGAUGGAGGCCUUCGGGUUGUGAACCUCUUUCGCUCAUGGUCAAGCCGCAACAAUGGUUGUGGUGAGGGUAGUGGGUAAAGAAGCGCCGGCGAACUACGU
Molecule: ribosomal RNA, 482 nt
Filed under: uncultured bacterium
Lineage: Bacteria
Description: partial 16S ribosomal RNA
Rfam family: Bacterial small subunit ribosomal RNA
Source: RNAcentral